AUCGUUUAUUUCCAUCCCCACCUCCCUUAUCUCCCGCGCUCUCCUCUUUCCCACCAUCAGCCUCCACCACCACCAUGGCUGCCCUCGGCAUCACCUCCCCGCCGGCGCCGUCCGCCUUCGCGUCCGCAACAUCUUCCCGCUCCCACUCUUCACCCUCCACCCCCCGCCUCCGCCUCCGCUCCCUCCCCACCCGAUUCGCGGCUGCGGCGUCGUUCCGCGCGCGGUGCGCCGCCGCCGCCGCCGCAGCCGGCGGCGCUGCAGGCUCCGAGGGCGCCGCCGCGGUGGCGGAGGUGGAUGAAGCGGGCACCGAGGUCGCCGGGGGCGCCGCAACCUCCACGCGGCCGCCCUACUCGCUCAUCUCCGCGGAGAAUGUGCAGAAGGCGAUGCGUGGCCUAGCUAUUACAGAUGCUGAUCACUAUGGGAGGCUUGGAGUCACAAGACUAGCUUCUACUGAUGAGGUAACCGCUGCCUAUGAGAAAAAAUGUGAAGAACUAAAUAGCAAAAAACUGGAAGAAGAGGAGCUCAACAAGGAACUUGACCUCCUAAAGGAAUCAUUUACCAUACUAUCAACUGAGGAAGAGCGAAGAUUAUAUGAUUGGAGCAUGUCCAGAAGUGGGCAACCUGAGCGAUAUGUCUGGCCUUUUCAAGUAGAUCCCUUGGAGCCGGCACCAGAUCCUCCCCAGGAACCUGAAGACGAGGUCCCGACAAAGCUCGUUGGCUACUUCUUCCUGGCGUGGUUCAUACUCUCUGUUGUGUUCUCGGUGACCCUCAACAGAUGAGGGACCUCUCGCCCCCUGCAAAAGAUGAACUGCAACCCCAAUACCGUAUAUCUUCCCUGUAUGAAUGCUGUAAAUGAUAAGCAUACUGUUACAUGGUAAAAUUUAACUGGAGCACAUAGCUGCACAUUCUGUACAGAUCAGGCUCAUGAAUCCUGAGUCCUUCGGUCACCUGAAGGUGAAGCGCUCCCAAAAUUUCUAA
Molecule: RNA transcript, 978 nt
Organism: Panicum virgatum (switchgrass)
Lineage: Eukaryota; Viridiplantae; Streptophyta; Magnoliopsida; Poales; Poaceae
Gene name: NAD(P)H-quinone oxidoreductase subunit U, chloroplastic-like
Exons: 6
Source: RefSeq, a predicted model, not a curated record